Molecule: ribosomal RNA, 301 nt
Filed under: uncultured bacterium
Lineage: Bacteria
Description: partial 16S ribosomal RNA
Rfam family: Bacterial small subunit ribosomal RNA
Source: RNAcentral
CAGUCGCCGCGGUAAUACGAAGGGUGCAAGCGUUAAUCGGAAUUACUGGGCGUAAAGCGUGCGUAGGCGGUGAGUUAAGUCCGCUGUGAAAUCCCCGGGCUCAACCUGGGAAUGGCAGUGGAUACUGGCUCGCUAGAGUGUGUCAGAGGAUGGUGGAAUUCCCGGUGUAGCGGUGAAAUGCGUAGAUAUAUGGAGGAACACCAGUGGCGAAGGCGGCUUUCUGGUCUGUGAUUGACGCUGAGGCUCGAAAGCGUGGGGAGCGAACAGGAUUAGAUACCCCCGUAGUCCCUGUCUCUUAUAC